RNAcentral lists this ribosomal RNA (332 nucleotides) under uncultured bacterium. Its description in RNAcentral is "bacterial SSU rRNA". It matches the Rfam family "Bacterial small subunit ribosomal RNA", at positions 568 to 898 of the family's 1533-position model. The record is from RNAcentral.
UGUGUAGGCGGAUUUCUAAGUACCUUGUGAAAUCCCACGGCUUAACCGUGGAACUGCUUGGUAUACUGGAAGUCUUGAGCCACUUAGGGGCGAGCGGAACAAAUGGUGGAGCGGUGAAAUGCGUAGAUAUCAUUUGGAACGCCAAUGGUGAAAACAGCUCGCUGGGAGUGUGCUGACGCUGAGACACGAAAGCUAGGGGAGCAAACGGGAUUAGAUACCCCGGUAGUCCUAGCCGUAAACGAUGUCGACUAGAUCGUAGUGCCUCUGACGGUAUUACGGUCGAAGCAAAAGUGCUAAGUCGACCGCCUGGGAAGUACGGUCGCAAGGCUAAA